Molecule: microRNA, 22 nt
Filed under: Oryza sativa (Asian cultivated rice)
Lineage: Eukaryota; Viridiplantae; Streptophyta; Magnoliopsida; Poales; Poaceae
Source: RNAcentral
UAGCCAAGGACAAACUUGCCGG